UACGGAGGGUGCAAGCGUUAUCCGGAUUCACUGGGUUUAAAGGGAGCGCAGGCGGCUUGGUAAGUCAGUGGUGAAAGGCUUAAGCUUAACUUGGGAACUGCCAUUGAUACUAUCAGUCUUGAAUGUUGUUGAGGUUUGCGGAAUGGGUCAUGUAGCGGUGAAAUGCAUAGAUAUGACCCGGAACACCUAUUGCGAAGGCAGCAGGCUAAACAAAUAUUGACGCUGAGGCUCGAAAGCGUGGGGAUCAAACAGG
This 253-nucleotide ribosomal RNA is filed under the name uncultured bacterium. RNAcentral's name for it is "partial 16S ribosomal RNA". It matches the Rfam family "Bacterial small subunit ribosomal RNA", at positions 524 to 776 of the family's 1533-position model. The record is from RNAcentral.